GACGAACGCUGGCGGCGUGCUUAACACAUGCAAGUCGAACGGAAAGGCCCUGCUUUUGUGGGGUGCUCGAGUGGCGAACGGGUGAGUAACACGUGAGUAACCUGCCCUUGACUUUGGGAUAACUUCAGGAAACUGGGGCUAAUACCGGAUAGGAGCUCCUGCUGCAUGGUGGGGGUUGGAAAGUUUCGGCGGUUGGGGAUGGACUCGCGGCUUAUCAGCUUGUUGGUGGGGUAGUGGCUUACCAAGGCUUUGACGGGUAGCCGGCCUGAGAGGGUGACCGGCCACAUUGGGCCUGAGAUACGGCCCAGACUCCUACGGGAGGCAGCAGUGGGGAAUAUUGCACGAUGGGCGGAAGCCUGAUGCAGCAACGCCGCGUGCGGGAUGACGGCCUUCGGGUUGUAAACCGCUUUCGCCUGUGACGAAGCGUGAGUGACGGUAAUGGGUAAAGAAGCACCGGCUAACUACGUG
Molecule: ribosomal RNA, 468 nt
Filed under: uncultured bacterium
Lineage: Bacteria
Description: partial 16S ribosomal RNA
Rfam family: Bacterial small subunit ribosomal RNA
Source: RNAcentral